CUGAGGGAAAUUCCACAAUGGAGUGCAGCUCUCUCCAGGACAGCCUCAUGGGCACACUGGCCAUGCCUGAGGGUAGGAGACUAUUGUUUUUAUUUACAGAAGCUGAGAGAAGGAUUUACAAAUCUCUAACUGGUUAAAUUCACUGAGCGGCAGCACCUUUCUCCUCAGGACAGAUCCUAAUUCUUCUGAGGGGACCUUUAGCCGCAUGGUAAACUUGUGUGGUGAAGGCAAACCUGCUCCUGGAGGAGAGGAGCCACUGGCAUUAUUUUAUUAUUUUAUCUUAAUUUUAUACUGGCUUGUGUGUAUGUGUGUGCACACAUUAGCCCGUGUAGAGGCCAGAGCUCAAUGUUAGGUGCAUUUUCUGUUUCCUCUCCACCUUCUGUAUUGAGUCAAAGCCUCUCACUGCACCUGCAGCACCCCAAUAUGUCUACACUGGCAGCCCAACAAUCCUCAGGGCUGCUUCCGUCUCCGAAUCCCCAGUGCCGCGAUUCCAGGUAUGAGCUGCACGCUUGGCUUUUUAAAAUAAAAUUUGAGAUUCAAACUCAGGUCCUCAAGCUUGUGAAAUGACUGCUUUACCAACGGAGCUGUCUCUCAGCCCCCACCGCCUUUCAGUUCAUGGAAUUUCCAUCGUCUACACCAGAGUUCUGCAUUUCCCACUGCUCAAUGAGCAUUAGUAAGCAGUACAUAAAUGCACCCAGGGGCAGAAUUAUCUGAGCUUGAAUCAAUGAGAAAGAAGACUUGUAAGAUGUGGUAUUUGAGACAGACUUUGUAGCAGGAAUAGGUUUUGUCUGAAAAAAAAAAAAACCCCAAAAAACUAAAAGCUAAAACCCUUGGAAGUGCUAACAAAACUAGAAGCAUUCAUUUGUAUACAUCGAAAGACUAGAAGAGAGCUGUCCGUCUCAUAGAGAUUUUGAACUACAGCAUGAUGCGUUCAGUGUAUAAAUUGGGAUUUGUACACUGCAGAAUGAUGGCAGGGAUAGCUAGAGUGUCCCUGAAGUCUGUUCAUUCUCCAUACAAAAUGAUGCUCUGCAUUUGGGGUUUUCCAGGUUGCUGGUAUUUCUGCAACAAUAUUUCUGAAGAGCUUGCGAUGCAGAGUUAUUUCUUCCUCGGUAAGAUAGCUGGUGGGCGCAUGUGGGAGAGAAAAAAAUGGCAAAAUAAAUGACAGGCUUCGAUGCAUAGGCAGGCCCUCCCACAAACACAUCCGAGUUAUAACCAAGCAGUCACGACACUCUCCAUUAAUUUAAUGAAAUUAAUUUUUCCGUACCCCACUUUCUGUGCUACAAAGCACUUUACGAUGAGAGGCAAAAGGAGAUAAUGAGAUAAUGCUUUAUGGAACCACGCCGCAUCGAGUUUCCUAUCAUUAGCAAGACAGAAUAAUAUGUCAGAAAUGGUGCAAAUAGAUGAGAACUCUUAAUAGCAACCAGAGACACAGCCUGAAGCAAAAUGACGCUCCCAAAACCCUAUCCCUACUACAAAAGUAGCCUGGGUGCUAGUGGGAUUCUGAGUGUGACUGGGACCAAAUGCCUUUCCUUUUACGCUGUGCCAGCCUCAAACAACUGUCUCCAUCAUCUCUAGGUCAUAAGGGUCCUGGUAGAGGAGAAAGACUAAGACUGUGGUGGUUUUGAUGAGAAUGCCCCUCAUAGGCUUCUGUAUUUGAAUGCUCAGUCACCAAGGAGUAGAGCUCAGAAGGAUAAGGAAGAUUGUAUUGGAGGAUGUAUGUCAAGGUCAGUUGGGUUUGAGGUUCUAAGAACCUGCGUCAGGCACAGUGUCUCUCUCUCUCCAGCUGCCUCUGGAUCAGGAUGCAGAAAUCUCAGCUAUGAUCUAAGCAUAGUCUCAGAAUUAUGUCUGCCUGCGUGCUGACCUGCUCCCUGUUGUGACGAUAAUGUACUAACUGCCCCCCACCCCCCACCCAGUUAGGUGUUUUCUUUUGUAAGGAUUUCUUUGCUUACAGUGUUCCUUCCCAGCAACAGGACACUAACAAGGACAAUGAUGUUGAGAGCCAAUGAAAACUCAGUUAAGAUUCAUUUAUGCCAAUCACUACCCACUCACCUUGCCUGCCAUGUGGCCUGGUCUCCUUGUCUUUAAGGUGGGUGUGGAAACCCGUCGUAUGACCCAGAAAACCUGGUACAUGUACCGUAGCAGGAAACGAUAAAGCGGGCCUGUGUCAAAUAAGGUGGAAGGCAAGAGCCUGACCCCCAAGGUUCUCCUCCAGUCUCUCUGUGUGUGCUACGUUUAUAUGUACACAAACAUGGGCACAUAUUAUGUGCAUACAAAAUACAAAAAGAAGGAAGCAGGAUAAUCUGUCUUGUAGAGUUACUGUAAGGCUCAGGUCUACAAAACUGUUUUAGCAUACUAUCCAGCACAUAGUAGGUGUUCAACACACACUAUCUUUACUUCUGCCUUUCUUAGUAACAAGACCGUCAGAUCAGCUGAUCUCAUGUUUAGAUCUUUUGUGCUGCCUCUGUGGGUGCACAGGGAACAGUGUUGCAUGGAUAUUAUGUUGAGAGGGAGGUCUACCUGUGUGUAAGGUUAUCUUCCCCCCUCCUUUAAUCUCCUGUAUAUGUACUCUACCUUAUGUCACUAGUUGCAGAAAGGUAUUUUUUUCAAUAAAUCUUCAUAUAUGCCCACCAGAUUCUCUGUUAGCAACAAAAGGAGUUCACGUUUAAUAAGAUAAAUUGUCAAAAGAUACCUCACACCCGCCACUCUUGUUAUGUGUUGGUGAAGCUCUGCUUUUCUCCCGUCUCCCCCUAAGUGAUUUGGUCACUAAGCCUGAAAUGGCCCCCUUCUCUCGACAGCUACUGGUUUCAGUGUGUGCACUGUAUCUUCCCUGGGCCAGUGUGACCUAAGGGAAAUUGUAUUAGGAGAUCGUUGGGAAGGUUUCUUUUUUCGUUCUUUAAUAGAGAUUCAAAGUGGCACCUUUCCUUGUCUAGAUGUGUAGUAUCUGUAUAUUACAGCAUCUGUACAGGAUACAUGAACUGAUAGCUAUAGUGAAAUCAGCCAACAGAAAAGUUUAUAAAGACUCAAAGGAUUCAGCUCUUAGUGGCACUGUCUCCAAGACAGUCACCUCUGUAUUGGCCCAUCACUAAGUAUCUAUCUAUCCUCAAGGCCGUGCCUGAACUCUGCUGGGCUUUCCCUUACUGUGGUGAAGGCAUCACAAUGCAGGCUGUCAGGUGGGAUCCAGUUUGACCCUAAGUUUGUCCUUAAGUGUAGAGGAAGGACCUCAUAUUUCUUUAGGUGUAUAGCGUCCAUGCCAGCUUGUCCCAAGCCACCUUCUGAGAAGAUGAAUCUAGCAACUGUCCAGCUUCCAGGUGCAAAGAGAUGGGAAAUAUCCGAGUCUCUAGGGCAGUCAGGACCUAUCCUGCUGGAAAAGAGAAAGGAUGUGACCUGCCACUCAUGGUGCACCCAUUCAGUGCCAAAGCACUUACAUAUGUUUUGACCCUCUCCCCAUAAAGUGUGUUAGCUUCCUUUAGAGGUGGAGACACUUAUCUCAAGGAUUAAACAGCUGGCCAAGGUCUGCUUUUAAGUGGCAAAUCUGGUGUGAGAAUGCCAGAACCCAGUUGCUAUUUUCUUGACGGAGAGACAGAAACCUGAGACUGAUAAAGCCUGGCCAGAAUCCAAGUUUAGAUCAUUUUCUUGAGCUUCAUUUAUUUAAUGUGUUUGAGUAGUUUGCCGCAUAUGUAUAUGUGUAUGUGUGUGUAUAUGAUGUACAUAUAACGUAUAUGCAAUGUAUAUGCAUAUUACAUGUAUAUGUAAAUGUAAUCUAUGUAUAUAUGUAAUGUAUGUGCAUAUGCAUAUGUAAUAUUUAUGUUUAUGUAUACGAUGUAUAUGUAUGGUGUAUACGUAUAUGAUGUAUAUUAUGUAUAUGAUGUAUAUGAUAUAUGUACAUGUAUAUGUAUGUGUAUAUGUAUAUGAUGUAUGUGUAUAUGUGUAUGUGUAUGUAUGUAGUGUGGGGUAAAAGACGGCUUUUUUUUUUUUUGGUUCUUUUUUUUUUUCGGAGCUGGGGACCGAACCCAGGGCCUUGCGCUUCCUAGGCAAGCGCUCUACCACUGAGCUAAAUCCCCAACCCGGCUUUUUUUUUUUUAAAUUUUACAGCAACAGAUUGUGAACCAACAUGGUGGGUGAGAAUCCACUAGUAAUCCUAGGAGUUGAGAGGAAGUUUUAUUUUCUAAGUAAGAGGAGGCCAGCGCCAUGUUGAGUCAUGUGAUGUCUCAAGCUUGGGAACUUUAAACAAUGAAACAUAGAAGCAGCCUGGGCAGGCAGGCUGUAGAUCCCCUGCUGUGUGAUAAGAAGUGGCAGCUCAGAGAGUUAGAGAUUAAAAGCUACUUUUUAAAGAAAGUUGUUUAGAAAGUCUUUCAGCAUACUCAUAUUCCUUCUAACGUGGGCUCCACGGGAAUUUUGGGUUGAAAUCCUAGUCAGACAAGCUACUUCUUAAUGACAGGUAUUAUUAGAAGGUGAUCAAGUUUGUUUUUCAGAAGAAGAGAGUACAGAGAUUACCCGAAUCACGUGGGGAUUUUCACCCAUGGUUCAAACUUAAGGAAAAUUAGUCACUGACUCCAAGUAGAGAGUUGUGAUAAAAGUCUGUAACACCAGGGAGAGUGAAUGCAGACAUAUAUUAUAGAAGUUAUUAAGGUUAAAGAAAAAUCUGAGGCUCUGGGAAGAGAGCUUAACAGAUCAAUAUAUUUUGGGUAUUAAGGUUAAAUAAAAAUCUGAGGCUCUGGGUAGAGAGCUUGACAGAUCGAUAUAUUUUAUCUAAAGUCCUGGUUUGAUAAAUUGCCUACUUAUUGGUAUUAGAAUUGAUAGAAGGUGUUUAGUUUGUUUUAUGAAUUACCCCGUUAAAGACCAUAUGGCUUGUUGAUGCUGGCUAGCGAGGCUAUGUGUUUACUUUUGAUAUUUACCACAACAGGAAGCUCAGGUUCUCUUAACGUGGGUUCCAAGGGAAUUUUGGGUUAAUUUCCUGAUUUGACAGAUUAGAGAAGCCUAACAGGUUUAUUGUUUGACACUAUUGUUUAGAUUACUUCCUUUUUAAAAAUCGUUUAAUCUUCAUAAUGGAUGUGAUUCUAUGAUUCUCAGAUUUCUGACGGGGUUGAAGACUGAUUAUAGUCUCAUAGCCUAUCAGGCUGUUAAACGUUGAAAAUACUUUGAGUUUUAUGGUUAUAUUAUUACUCUGGGAGAGAGUGCCAGAUAUAAGCUUUCAUGGUUACAGACUAAGAAACACAGUAUUUUGGGAGAAAGGUUUUUUCUUUGUGUUUUUAAAAAGGGUGAUUAGCUUUGAGACAUUUUCCAGAGUCAGAUUUGAUCAGAUUUGACAAUAGGAGACUGCCUGAAAAACUAGAUUCAAGAGAAUCAAUCAAAAAGAUAUCUCUAUUCUAAACUUUUAUCUUGAGAAUUAUAUUUUGCAGAAUGUACCUACUUGGAUUCCUGAUCUCAAGGACUUUCAGCUGGGUCCAGUCAAGACAGACAUAUCUGCUCCUAACAGUUCCCCUUUGGUAGAUUUAAUGAAGAAAUUGAACAUCUCUACAUCCAGAGACCAAUGGGAAUCCCAAGAAGUCCUAGGAGAGAGAUGUAACUCCACACAGAUGCAUAGCAGCUUCUUCCCAGGGAAGGAGGUGGGAUUCUCCGUGCUGUCUCUAAUUCCGUGGUGGUCUGAGCCCAGAUGCAGGUGCUGGUUCACUGUAUGGGAGUUUCUGCUACAGAAUGAUGGAUUCUAUGGUCCGGGUUAGUGGGAAGUAAGCCUCUGGGACCACUCCAGCUCUCCCGGUCCCCAAGGCCCUGAGACCAGUGGGUGCCAAAACCCUGCCUGGAGAUGGCCAGGAGCAAGAGUAAUCGUCACACAAGCCGCGCCCAUGGACCUCUCCUCAUAAAUGCUGACUUUGCUCUUGGUAAACAGGUGGUGUACGAGGGGAUGGGUACUUCAUUUUACUUUUUUGAUAGAAUUAUUACUUUAUUAUUUUCCCUAUAAAUAGAGCGCUGACUCAUUUCGGUAAAGAAAUCAGCAAACACAAACAAACCCACAGAAGAAAAUAUAAAAUACUUAGAAUGUUGCCACCCACAUCAGAAUGCGAUUCUUCUCAAUUUUUCAUUUUUAAUGAAGAAAACUUUUCCCACAAGAAAGGAUUCUGCUUCGUUAUAAGCCUACAUUUGUUUCCAUACCAUCAUUAUGCUUUUUUUUGUCAAUAUCAUGCCCUUAUGUUAAUAAUACCACCCCUCACCCCCAUCCUUGAAUGCCAUUGUAUCUUUGCAGUGACGCCAUGGCUCAUUCUCUGUUUUCCUGUAUCAGUGGUAAAUGAUUCUUCUAGUUUAGUGUGUGUGCAUCUUCCAAGUCUUUUUGUCUUUCUCUGUACAAAUCUAUGCUGCACUACCAGCAGUUCUCUGUUCUGGCAAAAAUCACAAUAAAAAAUACCUAAAUA
Rattus norvegicus (Norway rat) is the source of this 6407-nucleotide long non-coding RNA. RefSeq lists it as uncharacterized. The record is from RefSeq and is a predicted model, not a curated record. NCBI's taxonomy places the organism in Eukaryota, Metazoa, Chordata, Mammalia, Rodentia, Muridae.